This 253-nucleotide ribosomal RNA is filed under the name uncultured bacterium. Its description in RNAcentral is "partial 16S ribosomal RNA". It matches the Rfam family "Bacterial small subunit ribosomal RNA", at positions 524 to 776 of the family's 1533-position model. The record is from RNAcentral.
UACGUAGGUGGCGAGCGUUGUCCGGAUUUACUGGGCGUAAAGAGCGCGCAGGCGGUCGUACAAGUCGCGUGUGAAAGCCCCCGGCUCAACUGGGGAGGGUCACGCGAUACUGUUCGACUCGAAGGCAGGAGAGGGUAGUGGAAUUCCCGGUGUAGUGGUGAAAUGCGUAGAUAUCGGGAGGAACACCAGUGGCGAAGGCGGCAUCCUGGACCGGUAUUGACGCUGAGGAGCGAAAGCCAGGGGAGCAAACGGG